This 253-nucleotide ribosomal RNA is filed under the name uncultured bacterium. RNAcentral's name for it is "partial 16S ribosomal RNA". It matches the Rfam family "Bacterial small subunit ribosomal RNA", at positions 524 to 776 of the family's 1533-position model. The record is from RNAcentral.
UACGUAGGUGGCAAGCGUUGUCCGGAUUUACUGGGCGUAAAGAGCGCGCAGGCGGUCGUAUAAGUCGAAUGUGAAAGCCCCUGGCUCAACUAGGGAGAGUCAUUCGAUACUGUUCGACUCGAAGGCAGGAGAGGGAAGUGGAAUUCCGGGUGUAGUGGUGAAAUGCGUAGAUAUCAGGAGGAACACCUGUGGUGUAGACAGCUUACUGGACCAUUUCUGACGCUGAGACACGAAAGCGUGGGUAGCAAACAGG